Molecule: non-coding RNA, 2065 nt
Organism: Schizosaccharomyces pombe (fission yeast)
Lineage: Eukaryota; Fungi; Ascomycota; Schizosaccharomycetes; Schizosaccharomycetales; Schizosaccharomycetaceae
Source: the annotation of a GenBank genome assembly
GGUCUCAGUAGCAAACAGAACCUUCACCAACCCUCUUUGAAAAAGGAUUUCUACUAUUUCCUUGAUGAUGGGUAACAGUCCGCCAUGAUGAACGGCUAAACCACGAGAAAGCAUUUCUCGCAUACGACCGAUUUGAGGAAGCAAUCGAUCUUCUUUUUUUAAUCGAGCAACGGCCUUUUCAAUAACAACGUGCACUUCACUUUUUUCCUGAUGAUUAUUUAAAUCACGGUUAGUAAGUGUAUCUACGUAUUCCUCACAGCGUUUCUUCGAAAAUACAAAUACUAUUACAGGCAAAAGAUUUUGCUUAUGUAAAUGACCAAUUAAGUGAACCCAAGUGUUAGCAUCUCUUCUUUCAACAGACUUUGCGCUUCCUCUGCCACGCAUCAUAUUCGUUUGAACGCCUCUGCCUCUAGCGGCACCCCGACCCCUAGCUGAGUUCUUAUUAUCCUUAGCUAUAACAGGUUUAUCAGGCUUUUUCAGUGCAUCGUUUGCGGAUUUGUAGCCAUCCAUCAAAAACCGACCGUGCUGAUCAACGAUUUUAAACAUGUUCUGUUUCACCCAGAGAUAAUGCUCUAAGGGCACUGGUCGCUUCAAAGUUGAGAUAACAUAAAUGUUCUUUUUCUUUGUUCGUCCAACCCAAGAAGCAAACUCUUUGGUGUUAGGGACGGUAGCAGAUAAAAGAAUCAAAGUUACAUGAGGAGGAAGCAUAAUAAUAACUUCCUCCCAAACUACACCUCUUUCUAAAUCAUUCACAUAAUGAACUUCGUCAAAGAUAACAAACUCAACAUCACGAAUUAAGUCAGCACCUCUAUACAACAUGCUUCGUAAAAUUUCUGUUGUCAUAAGAAGGCAUGAGCCUUCUGGAUUUACUUGGACAUCACCAGUUAAAAUUCCAACGUCUUCAAAUUUAUGUUUGAAAUCUCUAAACUUUUGAUUAGAUAGUGCUUUAAUGGGUGAAGUAUAUAUAGCCUUCGUCAUAUGUUUUUGUGCCAAAGCAAUUGCAUAUUCAGCUACUACCGUUUUUCCAGCACUGGUGUGAGCAGCAACAAAGACAGAGUCACCCAUUUCAAGAUGAUAAAUAGCCUCCUUUUGAAAAUUAUCGAGUUCAAAAGGAAAGUCAAGAGCCAUUUCCGGAACGAGUUGUUGAAAAUUUUCUAUUGGUGCACUACUAUCUACAACAUGAGCAUAGUCUGGUUGCUUAUGCAAGUUCAAAGUAGAAGGCGGUAGAGAAACGAUGCUUCUUUUGUCAGGUAGUAGAUCAUCAAUUUCAGAAUGUUUAGAAUUGACAUUUUUUAGGUGUUCAUUCAACUCAUGAAUGGUGACAAAGUUACGAUUCGAGCUUUUCACUUUCUUAGUAUCCCAUUUUUCGGGGUCAAAUUCAUCGUUCAAAUUGUCAGUCGUGGAUGUCGCUGUCAUGGAAAGCCCUCGGGAGAACCCUGGCGGUACUUGCAACAAACCAUCUUCACCGUAUAGAGCCAUUUUCACGGAUGGUUCGCCUGCUAUAGCAUCGACAUCAGAGUCAUCUGCCAGAAAAGGAAUGUUGCUUGUGCUUCCACGAACGAAUUCAUUUUUCGAAGAUGGUUUUCGUAAGAAACUUGACGAAUUUUUAGAAUUAAGGUCUUCUAUUAAUUCAGGAACCUCUUUGUAGCCCAUAAUUUUACCCUCCAGGCCAUGUCUUUGAAAGCGAAUUUGCGUACGAGCUAAAGUCUCGGGAUACUCAUAUAGUCCUUUAUAUGUAAUUUCCCUAUCCCAUUUUUUUUGCAACUUUCGAAUCCAGUCCUUCGAUAAGGCUGGAGAAGGCUUCAAAAAUGUAUCAACAUCGUAAGUUGCUUCAGUGAUACUCAGGUGUCCGUCAAAGGAAUCAUCUUUUAUUCCAUCUAAUUCAAUUUUAUCCUUGUUAGAAACUGCUACUUCGUUGAUUGCAUCUACAAGUUUAGAAGACAUGGACGAUGAUUGAGUAGGUGGGACUUGGGUAAUAGAUCUAAGUAUGUUAUGUCGUUAUAAGAAUAUUGGUGAAUUGAACAAUAGUAGACUGAUUAUCAAGUGAUAUAUAGUUAUUUUCGAC